Molecule: unclassified non-coding RNA, 589 nt
Filed under: Hevea brasiliensis (rubber tree)
Lineage: Eukaryota; Viridiplantae; Streptophyta; Magnoliopsida; Malpighiales; Euphorbiaceae
Source: RNAcentral
GAGGAGCCAAAUCAUUAUAUUUAGGUGGCAAUUGUCCAGGAAAAGUAUGUAGCCCCAUAGGUCGAUGAUGAUCCAAUAUUUCCAGCUGGCUAGACCCCAAAAGAUGUUCAUUAAAAAUCUCUGGCCUUGUUCCUUUAACCCCAGGACUAAGAGUGGAGUACUCUUUACCAGGAGCCAGCUCACCGCUUGAAUAUGUAAUUGUGAUGCGAGGAUCAUUAAAAAGCCGCCCCUGCAAGCCUUCUUUAGCACGCCGAGCUUCAUCUACACUUCUGAACUGUACAAAGGAAUAGUGCCUUGAUGGAAAGCUCUUAAUUCUCUCAAUCUCGCCAAAAAGAAUCAUCGCAUUGUGGAGCAUUUGUUCAUCAAUCUGCACAGAUGGAGGAUAGCCUACCCACAGUACAUUAGUGGGCAGGCCUUCCCUUUGGCCCCCUGAAAGCUGAGAAUGCUGAGCUUGUUUUACUCCAGAAUGUGCAACUGAAAACUGACUCUCUUUUGAAUCACGAAAUUCAUAAAAAUGUUCUCUUCUUAAGGAUUGUAAACGAAGGAAUUCCACACGUAUCUGGUCACCACCAAUUCGCUUUCCAUUCAU